AGAGCCUUUUCUUUCCUUGUUUCUUUCUUCUUCUUCUCCUACCUUCCCAUCAAUAUCUCUAUCUUUCUUUAUUUGAAAUAAUUCAAAGGAGAGAGAGGGAGAGAGAUGGGUAUUAAUAAUCAUCUUGUUGAAGAGAAGGCUCUUGAUUAUGGCAAUAGCAGAAGAAGAAGAAGCACGGACAGCCUUGAAGAGAGAGUUUCUGUGUUUCUUGAUGAAGAUUUUGAUCAUUCUAAUCCUUCUUUUGAUGGCCAUGAUCAUUAUGAUGAUCAUGAUUCCUUUAUUGAUGAUCAUCAAAACUCCAUGGAAAGAACCAUUUUCUGGGAAUCACAAGAGGCUUUGCUUCAGGAAGUUCUGGAAUGCUAUAGCACAACAGGGUCAAAGUGGAGGAAAGAGAUAAACAGAAUAAUAGAGAAGGCAAAGGAAAGAGAGUGCUGCAAAUGCGCUGAGCCCACUAGCUGUUUCAGGCGAAAGGUUGUUGAUUUCCUCUGCCAAAGAGGUUUCAAUGCUUCUCUCUGCACUUCCAAGUGGAAUCACACUAAAAAAUUCCCAGGAGGGAAACAUGAGUACAUUGAAGUAAUUGUGAGCACAAGUGGACGCAAGAAGCAAAUCCCAUACCUAAUAGAAUUGGAAUUCAAGGAACAAUUUGAGAUAGCAAAGGCAUGUGAAGAGUACAAGAAACUUGUAGCUCAAUUACCAAAAUAUUACAUAGGAAAAGCUGACUACCUAAAUGCCAUUGUUGGUAUUCUCUGUGACUCAGCCAAGAGAUCAAUGAAAGAGAAGAAAAUCCAUAUGGGUCCAUGGAGAAAGAGAAGCUUCAUGCAAAUGAAAUGGUCGAGUUCUUCCACAGGAGCAGGAAGCUCCAUAGAUGAAUCUUCAAGUAAUAACUUUUCUCUGCUUUCAUCAAACAAAGCUCAUGAUUCUUGCUUCCACUUCUCUGCAGCUCCUGCUGUGAUAGUCACUUGAUUAUAUGCUCACUGGAAACCAAAAUAAAUAUAAGCAUUACUGUUUUUGAUAGAGAAAUUUUCAAUUUACAAUUUGGUCCCUGGGUUUUAUCCUAUAUUACACUUUAGUCCUUGGAUUUUGAAAAAAUAAUUAUUUAGUCUCUUAGUUUUGCACUAUAUUACACUUUAAUCCUUGAAUUUUUAAAAAAUAAUUAUUUAAUUUCUGAAUUUUAUAUUAUAUCAUACUUUAGUCCCUGGAAUUUUAAUAUAUAGAAUAAUUUAGUCCUUCUGUUAAUGGAUAAAAUUAUUAUAAACAUUAAAAUUACAUGGACUAAAUUAUUAUAUAUAUUAAAAUUAAAGAAAAUAAAUAAUUCUUUUCUCAAAAUUUAGGAAUUAAAGUGUAAUAUAAUGCAAAACUAAGGAACUAAAUACUUAAUUUCUCAAAAUUCAAAGACUAAAAUGUAAUAUAAAGUAGAACCUAAAGACUAAAUUGUAAA
RNAcentral lists this unclassified non-coding RNA (1438 nucleotides) under Hevea brasiliensis (rubber tree). The record is from RNAcentral. Lineage: Eukaryota; Viridiplantae; Streptophyta; Magnoliopsida; Malpighiales; Euphorbiaceae.